GCCAGCGUGGUGUAGUGGUUUGAGCAUUGGACUAGGACUCUGGAGACCAAGGUUCGAAUCCUGGCUUUGCCC
This 72-nucleotide transfer RNA is filed under the name Phrynosoma platyrhinos (Desert horned lizard). RNAcentral's name for it is "tRNA-OTHER". The record is from RNAcentral. Lineage: Eukaryota; Metazoa; Chordata; Lepidosauria; Squamata; Phrynosomatidae.